AGAAUCUGUAUUCCUACUAAGCUGAAAUGAACUUUACUUAUUUCAACCUAAAUGAAGCAGUUUGCAAGUAAAUUCUGAAACUGGAAAGUGCCACAGUCCACUAGGGAAUUAAGUUCCCAGAUCCCCUUCACCUUCCAGCUCCCUUCUGGCAUCCUGCCCUGAAUCCCUGCAAUCGCUCUUUCUUAAGUCAAUGACCUUUUCUAUGAAUCCGUCCUGUCCCUCUUCAUUCCCACAUCCCUUAAAAUGCGUAUGCCACCCUUUUCUUGAAGCUCCUUCCUCUCAGGGACAUCUUCCCAUCACUUUGACUUCCUUAUGUGGUUUCUCUUCCUUGAUCUAGAUGUUGGUGUUCCCCUAGAAUCUGUCAGCAACUGUCCUUCUGAGAGUCACAGACUGUCCUAUGAUUUCAUCCUUUGUUGUGAAUUCCACCCCAAGUUCUUGGGGAAAGUCAACCACUGUUUCUACAACUAAAUGUAUAUGCCAACCACCAUUUUCUUCUCACUUUUCCAGCUAUUUAUUGUCAUAUGGCCCAGCAUGUGUCAAUGGUUAAAUAAAUGGAAUAAAAAUCGUGGAGAAGAGGAAGAGCAGUUGAUUGAAGUACCAAAGACUGCCUGGGUCAAACUUCAGAAUAAGCCUUUCAUAAUAUGAAACAAAAGAAGGUGAGUAAUCAUUUAAUUGGUUAUUUUUUUAACAUUUUAUUUACUUAU
RNAcentral lists this long non-coding RNA (704 nucleotides) under Mustela putorius furo (domestic ferret). RNAcentral's name for it is "lncRNA (ENSMPUG00000024181.1)". The record is from RNAcentral. Lineage: Eukaryota; Metazoa; Chordata; Mammalia; Carnivora; Mustelidae.